UCUGUAUGCGCUCUUUUAUACUGCAUGUAUUUUAUGCUGUAUAAUAACGAUGGUUUCUACAGCUGUGGCAUCAUAUUGAUGUUAUUAAGAGAGUGAUUGGGUGUGGAAUGCACCAUCCGCUACUGUAAAGAGACAAUCAAUAACACUGUGCAGAUGUAUUGUGUAUUUUAUUAUUUUAUUUACAAAAAUAUACAAUGCUAGAAAUUCAAUCUAUUAUAAUUGAUUUGAGGUGAUCAAAUUUUUUGGCUUUAUGUGAGAACAGAGGAAGCUGAUCUGCUUUAGGCACUUGAUUAGGCUGGAGGAACGGGCUUAGUGAGGUUUUGCUUCCAUGAUUCCAAAGCCUUCAGAGCGACUUUGGGGUUGCUGGGUGCCAGAUCAUGAGUGGCAUAAACCAUUGCGAGAUGCACCUCCCACUGCAAAUCUGCACACAAAAUCCAUCAUAAAAUUAGGACUUGCUGAAGCACUUUCCUUUUGAUAGAGAACUAAAAAUCAGAGAAUAAAGAUAAAGAUUGAUAAAGGAUUAGUUUAUUUGAUCCUUUAGUGAUAUCUUUUUGUUUCCCAAACUCAGUUAUGCUUUUUCACAGAUCUUCGACUGAUGCUGCCAGAUUCUCCUUUAGGCCUUGUUGGCCAAGUCGCCCUGUUUGAGAUGGCCAAAGAACAUGCGUGAAAAACAGGAGAAUCCAGAAAUAAUUGUCAUUAACGAUGGAGUUAAGUGAAGAAUGCAGUAAAAGACAUGAAAAGUCCAUGAAAAUGUUUAAUGACUGUUCUGAUGACUGUUUUGAUGAGAAUCAGCUACUUACCGUAUCCCAGUGCAGAUAUUUGCUGAGCAAGUAAUAAACCUUUCCAUAUGCCUUCAUUUUGCACACGAUGUGAAUGGCUCUGCAUAAAGGGCUGUUACUGGAGAAGACACUUGGCCAUGCUGUCACCAUGACCAUUAUCAGUUUUGGGGCUUCAGAAAUUUCUGCAGAGGAAACAAAAUGAUACCACAGAUUUAAAAUACACUGUAUAGUAAGAAAUACAAAACCAAAAACAUUACACAAUGGGCAUUCUUUGUAUCAUCGUCCAUAUUAUUUUUAGGAUAUAUGUAAAGAAAUGUCAAUAUAAUCUCACCUUCUUUAAGAAGUCUGUAGGCGAGGGCAUGUGCUUUAUGAAAGUCUCCUCUCUUUUUACACAAGCCCACAUAAACCCUACAGAGAGACUGCAGGAGUUCAUGUCCCAUAGACUCUUUCUCCGCCGUGAUCUUGUCCAACACCACUUUCAGAAAUGUCUCUGUUACAACUAAAUGAGAUGGAAGAAAAAGAUCAACCAACAUCCAACUAAAGCAAACAUGUAUUCAGGUCAUGUAUUUUUAAAACAAAUAUUAGGAAGUUAAGACUUGACUGUAGAUUAGGUUUAGGAAAACUACUAGACUUUGCAUAAACCAAAACCUGGAGUAAACAUUUUACAUGACAAAUCAAAUCCACUGUUCAAUUUCAGAACAUCAGGACCAGUGAAUUAUGGAUUGAUUUUUAAAGACUUAAAUCCACAGCUAAAUAAUUGAAUGCACACUAAAUAAAACAGAAGAUAAUAACUGACCUUGUUUACACAAAACUUGGAAAUGACAGAUUUUUCUUCAUCUGUCAGAGAAGAAAGUUCACAUUUUCCUUUAAGUAGUGCAUCAAUCCAGUUUGGAGAUAAAACAUCAUAGCAGGAAUCCUGCAGUGUUUUUAAUGCACUACUGAUGAGGGAUUGUUUUGUGUGUUUGUGAGGUGCAGCAUCAAGUCGAGGCUUUUUAGCAGCACUGGGUGGUGGCCUGUCUGAUGCAGCUCUCUUUGCUCUCAGCUUCAUCAACACUUUAAUCUCGUAAGGAGCGUGAGACUGAGAGGAACCACCAGAUCCAGAGUCCACCCACAUCCAGCUCAAGUUCCAGCUGUGGAGGAGAAACCAGCUGCAGCUCAAGUUCCAGCUGUGGAGGAGAAACCAGCACAAGUUUAAAAUUCAGUUAAAGUUUCUUCAGCAUCUCAUCUUUUGCAUCUUUUGGCGGUAGAGGACGAUGAGUGGACGUCUCGUCUGCGGCGGUAGAGGACGAUGUGUGGACGUCUUGUCUGGGCGGGUUUAGCAACACUGGAGUUUGGCUCUGAAGCUGGAAACACACCUGCUCCCUGUCAGAAGAAAUGGUUUGAACUGUUUCAUAAGGUCUUAAGUGUUCCACCUACUGCAAGUGUUCCACCUGCUUUACUCCACUCCUACUGCUGUAGCGCCCUCUACCUCCACCCCCACCAUUGUACAGCCUGCACUUACAUAAUCAAUGCUCAUUAAUUAUUUUUAUAUUUUAUGGUCAUAUUGUCUUUUAUUGGAUAGAAGAUUAUUUGUGUUUUUUUCAAAAGGGAAAUCAGAUCUUUACAUUUCCAGCACGUCUUUUUUUAGUUUACAAAGUCAGGGUUUGGUGGAUCCUUCAGCAACAAUUCAGCAGCCAAAACUAAAGUAAAUGUACCAAUGCAGAUUCAUGUCAUUUAAAAAGACCUUCAUAUGUCAUUAUCAUCAUCAUCAUUAUUAUUCUUAAGUUCAUAAUAUAAAAUAUGUGUAUUUACAGCCUGGUAGUCAAAGUCCAUCUCUUUCAGCUAGUGAUUCAUCUGCAUCCAGUCCUUCAUCUGCAUCCAUGAUGCUAUUUUUGUGGAUUUAAAAUUUGUAUCUAUUGUUUAUUAUUUGGUUGUUUUUUUAAACCCACUUUGGAACUUUUUAAUCAUAAAUGUUUAUAUUUAUUGUUAAAUACCCCUUACUAAUAUG
Silurus meridionalis is the source of this 2766-nucleotide long non-coding RNA. RefSeq lists it as uncharacterized. The record is from RefSeq and is a predicted model, not a curated record. Lineage: Eukaryota; Metazoa; Chordata; Actinopteri; Siluriformes; Siluridae. The transcript is spliced from 5 exons.